CCUACGGGUGGCAGCAGUGGGGAAUAUUGGACAAUGGGCGAAAGCCUGAUCCAGCCAUGCCGCGUGUGUGAAGAAGGCCUUCGGGUUGUAAAGCACUUUCAGUGGGGAAGAAAGCCUUGGGGCUAAUACCCUCGAGGAAGGACAUCACCCACAGAAGAAGCACCGGCUAACUCCGUGCCAGCAGCCGCGGUAAUACGGAGGGUGCGAGCGUUAAUCGGAAUUACUGGGCGUAAAGCGCGCGUAGGCGGUCUGAUAAGCCGGUUGUGAAAGCCCCGGGCUCAACCUGGGAACGGCAUCCGGAACUGUCAGGCUAGACUGCAGGAGAGGAAGGUAGAAUUCCCGGUGUAGCGGUGAAAUGCGUAGAGAUCGGGAGGAAUACCAGUGGCGAAGGCGGCCUUCUGGACUGACACUGACGCUGAGGUGCGAAAGCGUGGGUAGCAAACAGGAUUAGAUACCCUUGUAGUC
Molecule: ribosomal RNA, 465 nt
Filed under: Vreelandella stevensii
Lineage: Bacteria; Pseudomonadati; Pseudomonadota; Gammaproteobacteria; Oceanospirillales; Halomonadaceae
Description: partial 16S ribosomal RNA
Rfam family: Bacterial small subunit ribosomal RNA
Source: RNAcentral